GACGAACGCUGGCGGCGUGCUUAACACAUGCAAGUCGAACGGAAAGGCCCUGCUUUUGUGGGGUGCUCGAGUGGCGAACGGGUGAGUAACACGUGAGUAACCUCCCCUUGACUUUGGGAUAACUUCAGGAAACUGGGGAUAAUACCUGAUAUGAGCUCCUGCUGCAUGGUGGGGGUUGGAAAGUUUCGGCGGUUGGGGAUGGACUCGCGGCUUAUCAGCUUGUUGGUGUGGUAGUGGCGUACCAAGGCUUUGACGGGUAGCCGGCCUGAGAGGGUGACCGGGCACAUUGGGACUGCGAUACGGCCCAGUAUGCUACGGGAGGCAGCAGUGGGGAGUAUUGCAGAGUGGCGGGAAGCGUGAUGCAGCAACGCCGCGUGCGGGAUGACGGCCUUCGGGUUGUAAACCGCUUUGGACUGUGACGAAGCGUGAGUGACGGUAAUGGGUAAAGAAGCACCGGCUAACUACGUG
Molecule: ribosomal RNA, 468 nt
Filed under: uncultured bacterium
Lineage: Bacteria
Description: partial 16S ribosomal RNA
Rfam family: Bacterial small subunit ribosomal RNA
Source: RNAcentral